Anastrepha ludens (Mexican fruit fly) is the source of this 397-nucleotide long non-coding RNA. RefSeq lists it as uncharacterized. The record is from RefSeq and is a predicted model, not a curated record. The transcript is spliced from 3 exons. Lineage: Eukaryota; Metazoa; Arthropoda; Insecta; Diptera; Tephritidae.
AUAGUCACAAAAUAAAAAGUCGCUACAUUUCCCACAGUUCAUUGAAGAUUGCGUAUGUAGCUUAUGUGCAAGGUGGAUUUAUUAUGUGUGAAUUAAUUUGCCACGGGCAUGCAUAAGGUGAAAUUGAAUGUAGAGAGAGAAGUUUGGAGGCGGAAAAGUUUAAAAUAGAGAAACAUAACGCAAAAAACUUCGAAACAAAGGCAAAAUUAAAGUCUCACUGCGUACAGAAAGUAAUGAUAUUGAUGGCUAUCAGAAAUCCACUUUGGCUGCUAAUGACUAUGAUGACGUCAUACUAAAUACUAUUGAGAUGCGCAUACCAUAUUGCAUAAAAAAGUUUGCUUCAUGUUUUUUGUGGAAAAUCGAUCGCUAUGAUAGACAUCUAAAACUGAACACUUAA